This is a long non-coding RNA of Heterocephalus glaber (naked mole-rat), 422 nucleotides long. NCBI's taxonomy places the organism in Eukaryota, Metazoa, Chordata, Mammalia, Rodentia, Bathyergidae. The record is from Ensembl.
AGACAGUAUCUGUGAAUGGAAGGUUAAGGCACAGCCAUCCAUCUUCUGACGCCCAGGAAGGUGGCUACACGUUUCGCUGCCAUACUGCACUUCCCUGAUUCCACUUCACAGAGCAGCCUCACCCCAGCAGAGAAUUUUCUUACAGCUGAUAGGAUCUGGAACAAUGCAAACCCUGAGGAGAGUGGAGUCACCUGAGAACUAAGUGGGCACAUGAGACCUCUGGUUGCCCUGUUUUCACAGUAUCCUCUUCAUCUUCCCUUCACCUUCAAGGAGUUUCAGAAAUAGCUGUUUCUCAGCAUGGUACUGGCAAAGAAACAGACCUGAGGACCAGUGGAACAGAUUAGAAGAUGCAGAAACAACUCCAGACACACUCAGCCAUCUCAUCUUUGAUAAAGGAGCCAAACACCCUCACUGGAGGAAAG